ACGGGAGGCAGCAGUGGGGAAUAUUGGGCAAUGGGCGCAAGCCUGACCCAGCAACGCCGCGUGAAGGAAGAAGGCCCUCGGGUUGUAAACUUCUUUUAUCAGGGACGAAGAAGUGACGGUACCUGAUGAAUAAGCCACGGCUAACUACGUGCCAGCAGCCGCGGUAAUACGUAGGUGGCGAGCGUUAUCCGGAUUUACUGGGUGUAAAGGGCGUGUAGGCGGGACAGCAAGUCAGAUGUGAAAACCAGGGGCUCAACCUCUGGCCUGCAUUUGAAACUGUUGUUCUUGAGUGUUGGAGAGGCAGGCGGAAUUCCGUGUGUAGCGGUGAAAUGCGUAGAUAUACGGAGGAACACCAGUGGCGAAGGCGGCCUGCUGGACAAUAACUGACGCUGAGGCGCGAAAGUGUGGGGAGCAAACAGGAUUAGAUACCCUGGUA
RNAcentral lists this ribosomal RNA (436 nucleotides) under uncultured Oscillospira sp. RNAcentral's name for it is "partial 16S ribosomal RNA". It matches the Rfam family "Bacterial small subunit ribosomal RNA", at positions 341 to 792 of the family's 1533-position model. RNAcentral also lists the same sequence under 1 other name. The record is from RNAcentral. Lineage: Bacteria; Bacillati; Bacillota; Clostridia; Eubacteriales; Oscillospiraceae.